UGGAUCAAUGGUGACUCCCUGAGGUGUACGAGUUGUGUGUGAUGAAUGUGAGUCUGGAACUCUGAGGUUUGA
This 72-nucleotide small nucleolar RNA is filed under the name Bison bison bison. RNAcentral describes it as "Small nucleolar RNA SNORD113/SNORD114 family (ENSBBBG00000023518.1)". It matches the Rfam family "Small nucleolar RNA SNORD113/SNORD114 family". Rfam says of the family: The imprinted human domain at 14q32 contains two clusters of tandemly repeated small nucleolar RNAs named 14q(I) and 14q(II) snoRNAs. These two clusters are named SNORD113 and SNORD114 respectively in the HGNC approved gene symbol nomenclature. The snoRNAs found in both clusters are clearly related and are represented here by a single family. Lineage: Eukaryota; Metazoa; Chordata; Mammalia; Artiodactyla; Bovidae. The record is from Rfam by way of RNAcentral.